AUUAAACUGAAGAGUUUGAUCCUGGCUCAGAUUGAACGCUGGCGGCAUGCCUUACACAUGCAAGUCGAACGGCAGCACGGGUGCUUGCACCUGGUGGCGAGUGGCGAACGGGUGAGUAAUACAUCGGAACGUACCUUAUCGUGGGGGAUAACGCAGCGAAAGUUGCGCUAAUACCGCAUACGCCCUGAGGGGGAAAGCGGGGGACCGUAAGGCCUCGCGCGAUUAGAGCGGCCGAUGUCUGAUUAGCUUGUUGGUGAGGUAAAAGCUCACCAAGGCGAUGAUCAGUAGCUGGUCUGAGAGGACGAUCAGCCACACUGGGACUGAGACACGGCCCAGACUCCUACGGGAGGCAGCAGUGGGGAAUUUUGGACAAUGGGGGCAACCCUGAUCCAGCAAUGCCGCGUGAGUGAAGAAGGCCUUCGGGUUGUAAAGCUCUUUUGUCAGGGAAGAAACAGCAGCUCUAACACAGUCUGCGAAUGACGGUACCUGAAGAAUAAGCACCGGCUAACUACGUGCCAGCAGCCGCGGUAAUACGUAGGGUGCGAGCGUUAAUCGGAAUUACUGGGCGUAAAGCGUGCGCAGGCGGUUAUACAAGACAGGCGUGAAAUCCCCGGGCUUAACCUGGGAAUGGCGUCUGUGACUGUAUAGCUAGAGUGUGUCAGAGGGGGGUGGAAUUCCACGUGUAGCAGUGAAAUGCGUAGAUAUGUGGAGGAACACCAAUGGCGAAGGCAGCCCCCUGGGAUAACACUGACGCUCAUGCACGAAAGCGUGGG
Molecule: ribosomal RNA, 773 nt
Filed under: Polynucleobacter sp.
Lineage: Bacteria; Pseudomonadati; Pseudomonadota; Betaproteobacteria; Burkholderiales; Burkholderiaceae
Description: bacterial SSU rRNA
Rfam family: Bacterial small subunit ribosomal RNA
Source: RNAcentral